GAUGAACGCUAGCGAUAGGCCUAACACAUGCAAGUCGAGGGGCAUCACAUGAAGUAGCAAUACGGAUGGUGGCGACCGGCGCACGGGUGAGUAACACGUAUGCAACCUGCCUUCAACAAGGGGAUAACCCGUUGAAAGACGGACUAAUACCCUAUAACACAGGGGUCCCGCAUGGGAAUAUUUGUUAAAGGACAACCGGUUGAAGAUGGGCAUGCGUUCCAUUAGCUAGUUGGCGGGUAAGGCCCACCAAGGCAACGAUGGAUAGGGGAACUGAGAGGUUUAUCCCCCACACUGGUACUGAGACACGGACCAGACUCCUACGGGAGGCAGCAGUGAGGAAUAUUGGUCAAUGGACGCAAGUCUGAACCAGCCACGUCGCGUGAAGGAAGACGGCCCUACGGGUUGUAAACUUCUUUUAUACGGGAAUAAAGUGCCCCACGCGUGGGGUUUUGCAUGUACCGUAUGAAUAAGGAUCGGCUAA
Molecule: ribosomal RNA, 481 nt
Filed under: uncultured bacterium
Lineage: Bacteria
Description: bacterial SSU rRNA
Rfam family: Bacterial small subunit ribosomal RNA
Source: RNAcentral